AAAAAUGAAAGGACACCUCCAAGUAAAUAAAUGCUAGUGCCACCAGCUGCUUCCUUAAAUGAAACUAUGAAGGUGAUAAAAGAUUGCUACUGUGUGGCGGCUGGAAACCAAACAACCUAAUUCUACAAGUGAAAAAUUCUAAUAUCUAAAGUAAAAAAAUAACUGCAACUACAUUAAUGCUAUUAGAGCUCCUUCAGCGUUAAAAGCAAGAAAAAAAGAAGAAUACCCGAUGCAGUGCUGAAUCAAAACCAAAGCUAUGUUUAUUCACCAAAUAAAAUGAAGUGUUCUUUCAUUCCUCCCCUGUAACAGCGUUCAAGCAAGCUAUAAAUAUCAUCCGAAAUCCAAUAUUGCAAACAUUAUGAUUUUUUUAAACGUUGAAGCAGCUCCCUACAAAAUGUGUCUCCGCUCCUUUUAAUCCCAAAUGCCGAGAGUGCUUCCAACCAAAAGUGACGGCUGCCUCCUAGGUAACAAUCCCUAGGACAUGAGUCUUAAAAUUGGG
This 499-nucleotide long non-coding RNA is filed under the name Vigna radiata. RNAcentral describes it as "long non-coding RNA (VRAD_LNC007968)". Lineage: Eukaryota; Viridiplantae; Streptophyta; Magnoliopsida; Fabales; Fabaceae. The record is from RNAcentral.